UCCAAAAACACCUGAAUUUUUGGUGGGGUAGUUUGGGGUAUACUCCAAUAGGUUUCCUGUUACUGGGGUCAGACUCCAUGAGAGCAGUCAGGGCACCUGCUUUACAAAGGGCCACAUGCCAUGUGUGAGUUGGGAGAAGCUGAGCCCAGGAACAGAAAACAGGCUGUUUUCCCUAACUCUGAAGCAUUUUGCUGCAGGAUUUUUUUUUUAAAUCUACACUUACCUGAUUAAUCAGUGAGCUGACUGGCUAACAGUGAUUUCAGAAGAGGAAGGGUCUGCAUGGAUUCCAAUUGAAGAUUCCUACAAGCAAGUGGAGGGAAGAUGUUGUUUGACUCAGCAGACUAUAGGUUUGGUGAUGAAAGACUCUAACUGAGAUUCAGGAAGAUUAAACAUAGGACACUGUGUUUUCUAUUCACUGGGAAGCUAUGUUUUUCCAUAAGGCGAAUGCUAUUCUCAUGCCCUGAUUACUUUCAUAUCUCAGGAGUUUGGUCCUCCAGGUGAGCGUUCCUCCUAAGUGCUGAUGAGAUCCGGUCUCUGAUGCCCUGGAAAAAGACUUGGUUUUCAUUUUUAAAAGGAAAAAGUAUGUUUCUAGCCACUUUCCUAGUAUGGGCUGCACUUCUCUAGGAUGAAGUUAGCAAACUGAAUGGAACUUGGAGAGAGGAGUACAGGUUGCAGGAAGGAAGAGUUUGGAGGAGACACCAAGAAGUGAGACUUUGUGUACAUGGCUGGAAUGCUAACUGCAGUUGCAGCACCUCUAUAAAUUGUUCUCUUAAUAAGGAACUAGUUUAGUUUUAGAAACGGUGUCCUUUCAUGUUAUUACCUGGUAUGUGCUACAUGAAACAAAGAGAGCUAAAGAUAUGUACACACUCACACACUUUUUAUGUGAAGGAGUCAGCUAUGUUUGAGGUGAAAGCCAAAGAAUCACCAUUCUAGCUGCUGCUAAGACAGCAGCUGUGGCACAUGUGUAUCUCCCAUUGCUGUGGUAGCCAUUGGAAGGGGAACUCCUUUUCUGCAUCCACUAGCGCUACUUAGGAGCUCAUUGGGUAUGCACAACUUUGUUCCUGCAACCCCAGCUGCUGACUAUUCCAGCAGGGCAUAAGGAGCAGGAUGAAAGGAGACACGGCGCAG
Dermochelys coriacea (leatherback sea turtle) is the source of this 1128-nucleotide long non-coding RNA. RefSeq lists it as uncharacterized. Lineage: Eukaryota; Metazoa; Chordata; Testudines; Dermochelyidae. The transcript has 4 exons. The record is from RefSeq and is a predicted model, not a curated record.